Blautia sp. An249 is the source of this 104-nucleotide regulatory RNA element. It matches the Rfam family "Glycine riboswitch aptamer". Rfam says of the family: This family represents the bacterial glycine riboswitch. Glycine riboswitches usually consist of two metabolite-binding aptamers domains with similar structures in tandem. The aptamers cooperatively bind glycine to regulate the expression of downstream genes. The record is from Rfam. Lineage: Bacteria; Bacillati; Bacillota; Clostridia; Lachnospirales; Lachnospiraceae.
GGAUGACUCUCUGGAGAAGCUUACGAAAGGUGAGUGCCGAAGGUGAAAGCCGCCCGGAAAUCCGGGAUGGUGAAUCUCUCAGGCAAAAGGACAGGGAUACAAGA